CAGAGCCAAGGUGGGGAGACUGGACCGUUCAGUCCAUGUUAUAGUAGUAUAUCAAGGGAGUCCAAGGUGAGGAGACUGGACCAUUCAGUCCAUGUUAUAGUAGUAUAUCAAGGGAGUCCAGAGCCAAGGUGGGGAGACUGGACCGUUCAGUCCAUGUUAUAGUAGUAUAUCAAGGGAGUCCAGAGCCAAGGUGAGGAGACGGGACCGUUCAGUCCAUGUUAUAGUAGUAUAUCAAGGGAGUCGAGAGCCAAGGUGAGGAGACUGGACCAUUCAGUCCAUGUUAUAGUAGUAUAUCAAGGGAGUCCAGAGCCAAGGUGGGGAGACUGGACCGUUCAGUCCAUGUUAUAGUAGUAUAUCAAGGGAGUCCAGAGCCAAGGUGAGGAGACGGGACCGUUCAGUCCAUGUUAUAGUAUUAUAUCAAGGGAGUCCAGAGCCAAGGUGAGGAGACUGGACCAUUCAGUCCAUGUUAUAGUAGUAUAUCAAGGGAGUCCAGAGCCAAGGUGGGGAGACUGGACCGUUCAGUCCAUGUUAUAGUAGUAUAUCAAGGGAGUCCAGAGCCAAGGUGGGGAGACUGGACCGUUCAGUCCAUGUUAUAGUAGUAUAUCAAGGGAGUCCAGAGCCAAGGUGAGGAGACUGGACCGUUCAGUCCAUGUUAUAGUAGUAUAUCAAGGGAGUCCAGAGCCAAGGUGGGGAGACUGGACCAUUCAGUCCAUGUUAUAGUAGUAUAUCAAGGGAGUCCAGAGCCAAGGUGGGGAGACUGGACCGUUCAGUCCAUGUUAUAGUAGUAUAUCAAGGGAGUCCAGAGCCAAGGUGGGGAGACUGGACCGUUCAGUCCAUGUUAUAGUAGUAUAUCAAGGGAGUCCAGAGCCAAGGUGAGGAGACUGGACCGUUCAGUCCAUGUUAUAGUAGUAUAUCAAGGGAGUCCAGAGCCAAGGUGAGGAGACUGGACCGUUCAGUCCAUGUUAUAGUAGUAUAUCAAGGGAGUCGAGAGCCAAGGUGAGGAGACGGGACCGUUCAGUCCAUGUUAUAGUAUUAUAUCAAGGGAGUCCAGAGCCAAGGUGAGGAGACUGGACCAUUCAGUCCAUGUUAUAGUAUUAUAUCAAGGGAGUCCAGAGCCGAGGUGAGGAGACUGGACCGUUCAGUCCAUGUUAUAGUAGUAUAUCAAGGGAGUCCAGAGCCAAGGUGAGGAGACUGGACCGUUCAGUCCAUGUUAUAGUAGUAUAUCAAGGGAGUCCAGAGCCGAGGUGAGGAGAUGGGACCGUUCAGUCCAUGUUAUAGUAGUAUAUCAAGGGAGUCCAGAGCCAAGGUGAGGAGACUGGACCGUUCAGUCCAU
Molecule: long non-coding RNA, 1333 nt
Organism: Oncorhynchus keta (chum salmon)
Lineage: Eukaryota; Metazoa; Chordata; Actinopteri; Salmoniformes; Salmonidae
Exons: 5
Source: RefSeq, a predicted model, not a curated record